AGCAGCCGCGGUAAUUCCAGCUCCAAUAGCGUAUAUUAAAGUUGUUGCAGUUAAAAAGCUCGUAGUUGAAUUUCGGGAUCAAUAUGUCGGUCGUGCCUUCGGUACGUACUGGUAUCAUUGGUCUCUCCUUUCUGACGAACCAUGAUGUCAUUAAUUUGGUGUUAUGGGGAGUUAGGACUGUUACUUUGAAAAAUUAGAGUGUUUAAAGCAGGCUCACGCUUGAAUACAUUAGCAUGGAAUAAUGAAAUAGGACGUUUGAUUCUAUUUUGUUGGUUUCUAGGAUCGACGUAAUGAUUAAUAGGGAUAGUUGGGGGCAUUAGUAUUCAAUUGUCAGAGGUGAAAUUCUUGGAUUUAUUGAAGACUAACUACUGCGAAAGCAUUUGCCAAGGAUGUUUUCAUUAAUCAAGAACGAAAGUUAGGGGAUCGAAGACGAUCAGAUACCGUCGUAGUCUUAACCAUAAACUAUGCCGACUAGGGAUCGGACGAAGUUAAUUUUAUAAUGACGCGUUCGGCACCUUAC
This 520-nucleotide ribosomal RNA is filed under the name uncultured Glomus. RNAcentral describes it as "SSU rRNA". It matches the Rfam family "Eukaryotic small subunit ribosomal RNA", at positions 569 to 1091 of the family's 1831-position model. Lineage: Eukaryota; Fungi; Glomeromycota; Glomeromycetes; Glomerales; Glomeraceae. The record is from RNAcentral.